Molecule: long non-coding RNA, 1262 nt
Filed under: Nicotiana benthamiana
Lineage: Eukaryota; Viridiplantae; Streptophyta; Magnoliopsida; Solanales; Solanaceae
Description: long non-coding RNA (NBEN_LNC029292)
Source: RNAcentral
CUGGUUGACCCCUGCCUCUGGUAGUCCGAGCUCCACCUCAACAGUCUCUGCCUCCACCUCUAUGAUCCCUACCCCCGGCUGGGCAAGAUGGGGGACACCUAGUGCUUGAAUCAUGGGGCGAGGACCCUGCUACUGAGAACUACCCGAAACUCGAGGGCAAAACCUGACAAUGUGACUCGGGUCACCACAACCAUAACAUGCCCUUGGCUGCUGAGACUGCUGGCACUGUCGACUUGUAUGUCCUCCCCUAAGGCUAUAAAGUGGCGGUGCACUGAUGGGAGCUGGUGGUGCACUGAAGGACUGCUGAUCCGAAUAAUGAUUCUGAGAACCACCACAGCCUGGAGUACCAUGAGAGACCUGGAGUGAUGACUGAAAGGGACUCGCUAGAUGGCCUCUACCCUAAGAGUCCCUACCUCCUGAUGAGGUACUGCUGAACCUACCAGAAUGACGGUGCCUCUUGUCUGACCCCUCACCUCCUCCUUGUUCAAGUGCCAUCUCUAUCCUGCGGGCCACAUUGGCCGCCUCCUAAAAGACAUAUCACUACCGGCUCACAUAGCCAACUGAAGCCGCAUCGGCUGAAUCAACCCAUCAAUGAAUCUCCACAACCUCCCCCUCUCAGUGGGGAGUAUAACAAUAGCAUGGCGUGCCAAAUAAAUAAAAUGAGUCUCAUACUGCGUGACUGUCAUAGUACCCUGAUGAAGACGCUCAAACUGCCUGUGUAGAGCAUUUCGCUAUGUCGUCGGGAGAAACUUCUCCAAGAACAAUUAUGCAAACUGAUCCCAAGUCAGUAAUGGCGAUCUUGCUAGCCUAGAUAAACAAUAGUCCCUCAACCAAGUCUUAGCUGAUCCUGCAAGCCGAAAAGUGAUAAAGUUGACCCCAUUGGUCUCCACAAUACCCAUAGUGCUGAGAACCUCAUGACAGCUGAAUAAGAAGUCCUGGGGGAUCCUUAGUAGAAGCACCGCUGAAGGUGGUGGUGAAGUGCUUGGUGAACCUAUCAAGCCUCCACAAAGCAUGUGCGGAGAUCGCUGCACCAUCGCCGGUCUGAACUGGAAUACUCGGCUGGGUUGCCACAGCUGGCUGAACUACUGGAACCUGCGGCUGACGGGCUACUUGCUCCGGAGUACGCAUAGCGGGAGUCUGAACUCCUCCCCCAGCCUGAGAUGUGGCUAGUGCUACGGGAAGCAAACCUACUCUAGAGACGCUCUCCAUAAAGCCUACCAAUCAGACCAAAGAGUCAUAGAGUACUGGAGUGGCUAUGAAAC